UAAGCCUUUAGCUAGCUAUAUUGCCAGAGUACGUUUAUAUAUUUGCACGUUGAUAAGACGUGUAGUGAACGGCCGUGAUGUCUAGCUAUUGGUGGGAUUGCUAGUAAAUUAGCAGUGCAUUUAGUCGCCUCAGCGCUGUUUCUAACCGUCGUCAUUUUUGUGAAUAGGUAUUCAAGUAUUCAGACGUUCCUGAGUACUGAUACAGAGCUCAUUCUCGAGGCAGCUAAUGAAGCACACAUGAAGGAUGGAACACUACUCAACAAUCUGUCUGUUGAAAUCAGACAUCCUGGAAAAUCUGUCUGAAAGGAUCUUGCGCACACUCAGAUUAGUCUGAACAUUCUCACUCUGCACAUGCUUUGGGAGAGGGUUCCCAAUAGCAUUCUGAAAUCCUUGAAGUCCUGUACGGGUGCAACACCAUCUAGGAAAGAAGAGUGAUCUGUGGCCUGAUCAUAUACCCCAGCGAGAGAGUUGAAGACCUUAUCACAGAAUACAAGGAUUCUGACAACACCAUGAUCCGAGAGGACCUCGUUCAGUGAUGUGAUGGUGUCAUGUGAUCAAGGAGCACUGUGAAGGAUCUGCAUCGAAGGAGCAGAGCUCCUGGCUGGUAUUCCCAGUCUUACACAGUCAUGUAACUUGCUUAUGGGCCUUAAAUUUAAGCCAUAGAUAAGGUACCCCAAAGAACUGAAGUAUACCUUUUGAGGUGGUCCAACAAGUAUUCUUUGAACUUGAUGAUCUUAGGACAUCCCUAUGGGUCCAAGCUCUAAAAAUGAAGUUACUUGUUUUCAGAGAUAUCUAAAGAUAUCUGAGAACUCUCAAAUGGCCACUCACAAACUGUGGUCUAAACCCUACUCAGUAAGCUGAAAAGCUAGGCGGUAUAGGAGCUACAGUUUACAUGAUGCUCUUUGUCAGGUGAAGUCAUAAGAGACAUUGUGAAUUCCUGUUUUAAAAAACUUUGUUAUAAAACUUACUCCAUAUGCACUAGUGGAUAUCUGAGUUUUUUUGUCAGGUGCAAGCUAUCUGGAUGUAACUUUACCUAAGGAGGCAAGGUAUAGUUAUACCCAGAAUGCUUAAAGAUGAUUGUCACGGCUGGCUGAAGGACUGGACCAAAGUGCAGCAUGGUA
This is a long non-coding RNA of Oncorhynchus kisutch (coho salmon), 1121 nucleotides long. RefSeq lists it as uncharacterized. The record is from RefSeq and is a predicted model, not a curated record. NCBI's taxonomy places the organism in Eukaryota, Metazoa, Chordata, Actinopteri, Salmoniformes, Salmonidae. The transcript has 5 exons.